RNAcentral lists this ribosomal RNA (869 nucleotides) under Lobaria sp. CM-2020i. Its description in RNAcentral is "partial large subunit ribosomal RNA". It matches the Rfam family "Eukaryotic large subunit ribosomal RNA", at positions 50 to 933 of the family's 3401-position model. Lineage: Eukaryota; Fungi; Ascomycota; Lecanoromycetes; Peltigerales; Lobariaceae. The record is from RNAcentral.
GCGGAGGAAAAGAAACCAACAGGGAUUGCCUCAGUAACGGCGAGUGAAGCGGCAACAGCUCAAAUUUGAAAUCUGACCCCUUCGCGGCCCGAGUUGUAAUUUGUAGAGGGUGUUUCGGGCGCGGCGCCGGUCUAAGUUCCUUGGAACAGGACGUCAUAGAGGGUGAGAAUCCCGUAUGUGACCGGCGAUCAAGCCCAUGUGAAGCCCCUUCGACGAGUCGAGUUGUUUGGGAAUGCAGCUCAAAAUGGGUGGUAAAUUCCAUCUAAAGCUAAAUAUUGGCCGGAGACCGAUAGCGGACAAGUAGAGUGAUCGAAAGAUGAAAAGCACUUUGGAAAGAGAGUCAAACAGUACGUGAAAUUGUUGAAAGGGAAGCGCUUGCGACCAGACCGGUCCGGGGGUGAUCAGCCGCUGCUCGUCAGCUGGUGCACUCGCCCUCGAUCCGGCCAGCAUCGGUUUGGGCGGUGGGAGAAAAGCCCCGGGAAUGUAGCUUCUUUCGGGGAGUCUUAUAGCCCGGGGCGCAAUGCCGCCCGCCCGGACCGAGGACCGCGCUUCGGCUAGGAUGCUGGCGUAAUGGUCGCAAGCGACCCGUCUUGAAACACGGACCAAGGAGUCUAACAUCUAUGCGAGUGUUUGGGUGUCAAACCCGGGCGCGGAAUGAAAGUGAACGGAGGUGGGAGCCCGUCGCACGGCGCACCAUCGACCGAUCCAGAUGUUUUCGGAUGGAUUUGAGUAUGAGCAUAGCUGUUGGGACCCGAAAGAUGGUGAACUAUGCCCGGAUAGGGUGAAGCCAGAGGAAACUCUGGUGGAGGCUCGCAGCGGUUCUGACGUGCAAAUCGAUCGUCAAAUCUAGGCAUAGGGGCGAAAGACCA